This 731-nucleotide ribosomal RNA is filed under the name Hospitalitermes medioflavus. Its description in RNAcentral is "partial 16S rRNA". Lineage: Eukaryota; Metazoa; Arthropoda; Insecta; Blattodea; Termitidae. The record is from RNAcentral.
GGUAAUUUAAUCUUAUAAUCAAAAUAAAUGGAUCAAAANCUAUUAUACAUAAAUAUGCAACCCCAAAGAGAAGUUAAAUAAUAUCUCCCAUCACCCCAACAAAACAGCAUUCCCAUUAAAUAAAAUAAAACAAACACACAAAAACAGAAAUAAAUGUUAAACUCUAUAGGGUCUUCUCGUCCCAUAAAAACAUUUAAGAAUUUUAACUCAAAAACCAAAUUCAAUUAACAAUACCCCAAAGACAGCUUAUAUCUCGUCAAGCCAUUCAUACCAGAUCACAAUUAAAGAACUAAUGAUUAUGCUACCUUUGCACGGUCAAAAUACCGCGGCCCUUCAACAAGUCAGUGGGCAGGCCAUACUUCAAAAACUAACAAGAAGAGAUGUUUUUGUUAAACAGGCGGACAUAAAAAACUUUGCCUAAUUCCUUAAAGGCAAUUAACAUUCCCUACACAAAAUAACAAAAAAAAUUUACUAAUUACACAAUAAUUACCAUACAAACCAAAAAUAAAGAAAACAUUUCAAUAAAUAACUUAAAUAAAAUAAAAUUAAAAAAAGAACAAAUAAAAUUUUAACAUAAUCAAAUAGAAAAUCAAUAUAAAAUCCACCAAACUAAAUACCCUAAUUACACAUAAUUAUAAAGAUAAAAUAAAGAGCUAAUCCCCCUUAAUCUUAACAUCAAAUAAAAAACAAAUAAAACAACAGUAAACAUUAAAUAAGACGUAUGAAUUAAA